Molecule: long non-coding RNA, 597 nt
Filed under: Vigna radiata
Lineage: Eukaryota; Viridiplantae; Streptophyta; Magnoliopsida; Fabales; Fabaceae
Description: long non-coding RNA (VRAD_LNC009912)
Source: RNAcentral
UUGAGAGUCCUCUGGUAUAGGAUUCUUGGUCUUUCCAUUUUAUAUUAUUUGUGCGACUCGGUACAUUUGCCGAAAUAGUCUAUCAUGUUUUUGGCAUCGUUGUCGGGGACUCAUGGUUUAAGCUAUUCAAUUUGUGUGAUUCUUGAUUAACUUUGACUUUAUUUUAUUUUUAUUUUAUUUUUAUUUUAUUUUCUAUUUUUAAUUUUUUUUUUUAUUUUUUUAUUUUAUCUUUCUUAUCUUUAAUUUUUAUUUUUCACUCUUUCAUUUUUAUUUUAUUUUGUCUUCUAUUCUGUUUAUUUUUGUUUUAUACUAAAAGUAUUUUCAAGGAUUUUGUGCAGGAUCUGAGACUUGCAGGAGGCCGAAAGGAGAUCAAUUAUGUAGAGAACUUUCUCUAGAGAAAAUUUCACAGGCCUCAUAAUCUGAUCUAAUAGGAUGAAAUUCUACCAAGGUAAUUUCAACUACUGGUGGAAACCUCACUCAAGCAUGAAUCAGAGCCAAUAUAGGCAAGUUGGUGGACUAUUCACUAGAUCACCAGAAGCCGACUGUACAACAAAGCUGGAGGAGACUCUCCAACAGUUCAUGCAAGGAUCUCUCUCC